Molecule: ribosomal RNA, 916 nt
Filed under: Caloscypha fulgens
Lineage: Eukaryota; Fungi; Ascomycota; Pezizomycetes; Pezizales; Caloscyphaceae
Description: eukaryotic LSU rRNA
Rfam family: Eukaryotic large subunit ribosomal RNA
Source: RNAcentral
UAUCAAUAAGCGGAGGAAAAGAAACCAACAGGGAUUGCCUCAGUAACGGCGAGUGAAGCGGCAAAAGCUCAAAUUUUAAAUCUGGUGCUCCACAGUACCCGAGUUGUAAUUUGGAGAGGCAACUUCCGACAGAGCUUCAACCUAUGUUCUUUGGAACAAGACGUCACAGAGGGUGAGAAUCCCGUGCAUGGUUGAAGAUUGCUGUUGUAUGUGAAGUGCUUUCAACGAGUCGAGUUGUUUGGGAAUGCAGCUCAAAAUUGGGUGGUAAAUUUCAUCUAAAGCUAAAUAUUGGCGAGAGACCGAUAGCGCACAAGUAGAGUGAUCGAAAGAUGAAAAGCACUUUGAAAAGAGAGUCAAACAGUACGUGAAAUUGUUGAAAGGGAAGCGCUUGUAAUCAGAUCUGGUCGAGAAUGAUCAACCUUUCAUUUUGAGGGGUGCACUCGUUCUUGGAUCAGGCCAACGUCGGUUAACCUUUUGGGUAAAUGGUUGAGGGAAUGUGGCACUCUUAGGGGUGAGCUUAUAGCCUUUGACUAUACCAUGCAGGUUGACCGAGGAACCGCGCCUUCGGGGCUAGGACGUUGGCUUAAUGGUUUUCAGCGACCCGUCUUGAAACACGGACCAAGGAGUCUAACAUCUAUGCGAGUGUUUGGGUGUAAAACCCUUGCGCGUAAUGAAAGUAAAUGUGGGUGGGAACCUUUCCGAGGUGCACCAUCGACCGAUCCUGACGUUUUCAGAUGGAUUUGAGUAGGAGCAUAGCUGUUGGGACCCGAAAGAUGGUGAACUAUGCCUGAAUAGGGUGAAGCCAGAGGAAACUCUGGUGGAGGCUCGCAGCGGUUCUGACGUGCAAAUCGAUCGUCAAAUUUGGGUAUAGGGGCGAAAGACUAAUCGAACCAUCUAGUAGCUGGUUCCUGCCGAA